GACGAACGCUGGCGGCGUGCUUAACACGUGCAAGUCGAACGAUGAAGCGGUGCUUGCACCGUGGAUUAGUGGCGAACGGGUGAGUAAUACGUGAGUGACCUACCUUUGACUCUGGGAUAAGCCUGGGAAACUGGGUCUAAUACCGGAUACGACCAAUCUCUGCAUGGGGUGUUGGUGGAAAGCGUUAUGGAGUGGUUUUAGAUGGGCUCACGGCCUAUCAGCUUGUUGGUGAGGUAAUGGCUUACCAAGGCGACGACGGGUAGCCGGCCUGAGAGGGUGACCGGCCACACUGGGACUGAGACACGGCCCAGACUCCUACGGGAGGCAGCAGUGGGGAAUAUUGCACAAUGGGCGCAAGCCUGAUGCAGCGACGCCGCGUGAGGGAUGACGGCCUUCGGGUUGUAAACCUCUGUUAGCAUCGAAGAAGCGAAAGUGACGGUAGGUGCAGAGAAAGCGCCGGCUAACUACGUGCCAGCAGCCGCGGUAAUACGUAGGGCGCGAGCGUUGUCCGGAAUUAUUGGGCGUAAAGAGCUUGUANGCGGUUGGUCGCGUCUGCUGUGAAGGCCGGGGCUUAACUCCGGUUUUGCAGUGGGUACGGGCUAACUAGAGUGCAGUAGGGGAGACUGGAAUUCCUGGUGUAGCGGUGGAAUGCACAGAUAUCAGGAGGAACACCGAUGGCGAAGGCAGGUCUCUGGGCUGUAACUGACGCUGAGAAGCGAAAGCAUGGGGAGCGAACAGGAUUAGAUACCCUGGUAGUCCAUGCCGUAAACGUUGGGCACUAGGUGUGGGGGACAUUCCACGUUUUCCGCGCCGUAGCUAACGCAUUAAGUGCCCCGCCUGGGGAGUACGGCCGCAAGGCUAAAACUCAAAGGAAUUGACGGGGGCCCGCACAAGCGGCGGAGCAUGCGGAUUAAUUCGAUGCAACGCGAAGAACCUUACCAAGGCUUGACAUGCAUUAGAUCGCGUCAGAGAUGGCGUUUCCCUUCGGGGCUGGUGUACAGGUGGUGCAUGGUUGUCGUCAGCUCGUGUCGUGAGAUGUUGGGUUAAGUCCCGCAACGAGCGCAACCCUCGUUCUAUGUUGCCAGCGGUUCGGCCGGGGACUCAUAGGAGACUGCCGGGGUCAACUCGGAGGAAGGUGGGGAUGACGUCAAAUCAUCAUGCCCCUUAUGUCUUGGGCUUCACGCAUGCUACAAUGGCCGGUACAGAGGGUUGCGAUACUGUGAGGUGGAGCUAAUCCCUUAAAGCCGGUCUCAGUUCGGAUUGGGGUCUGCAACUCGACCCCAUGAAGUCGGAGUCGCUAGUAAUCGCAGAUCAGCAACGCUGCGGUGAAUACGUUCCCGGGCCU
This 1345-nucleotide ribosomal RNA is filed under the name uncultured bacterium. RNAcentral describes it as "bacterial SSU rRNA". It matches the Rfam family "Bacterial small subunit ribosomal RNA", at positions 28 to 1381 of the family's 1533-position model. The record is from RNAcentral.